UUGCACUCAAUUGGAAAGAGGAGUGGCGGACGGGUGAGUAACACGUGGGUAACCUACCCAUCAGAGGGGGAUAACACUUGGAAACAGGUGCUAAUACCGCAUAACAGUUUAUGCCGCAUGGCAUAAGAGUGAAAGGCGCUUUCGGGUGUCGCUGAUGGAUGGACCCGCGGUGCAUUAGCUAGUUGGUGAGGUAACGGCUCACCAAGGCCACGAUGCAUAGCCGACCUGAGAGGGUGAUCGGCCACACUGGGACUGAGACACGGCCCAGACUCCUACGGGAGGCAGCAGUAGGGAAUCUUCGGCAAUGGACGAAAGUCUGACCGAGCAACGCCGCGUGAGUGAAGAAGGUUUUCGGAUCGUAAAACUCUGUUGUUAGAGAAGAACAAGGACGUUAGUAACUGAACGUCCCCUGACGGUAUCUAACCAGAAAGCCACGGCUAACUACGUGCCAGCAGCCGCGGUAAUACGUAGGUGGCAAGCGUUGUCCGGAUUUAUUGGGCGUAAAGCGAGCGCAGGCGGUUUCUUAAGUCUGAUGUGAAAGCCCCCGGCUCAACCGGGGAGGGUCAUUGGAAACUGGGAGACUUGAGUGCAGAAGAGGAGAGUGGAAUUCCAUGUGUAGCGGUGAAAUGCGUAGAUAUAUGGAGGAACACCA
This 652-nucleotide ribosomal RNA is filed under the name uncultured Bacilli bacterium. RNAcentral's name for it is "bacterial SSU rRNA". It matches the Rfam family "Bacterial small subunit ribosomal RNA", at positions 73 to 711 of the family's 1533-position model. The record is from RNAcentral. Lineage: Bacteria; Bacillati; Bacillota; Bacilli.